Molecule: long non-coding RNA, 1332 nt
Organism: Gavialis gangeticus (Gharial)
Lineage: Eukaryota; Metazoa; Chordata; Crocodylia; Gavialidae
Exons: 2
Source: RefSeq, a predicted model, not a curated record
AGCCCAGAGGGAGGAAACAGAGCCAUGCCCAGCCGAGCUGCCCCACCACAGGCACCUGGAGAUGGGGUUUCUCCUCCCUUUUAAAGAAGGGCAGAAUUGAAGCACAAACCCAGAUCAAUUCAUUUCAUCCUUAAAAUCACAGUCCAGGGGGAUGAGUAAGUAUUUCCUACAUGUUCAUGUGAUUUAAAUGUCCCAUCUUGUUUCUGUUAGCAAUCAUCAGAUGCCAGUAGGAGAGCAACAGGAGAACCAGUUUUGGGGAGGAUUUUGCUCUGCAAUCCCUCACCCAGAAGUGAGCAGGUCAGGAUCGGGUCCUUGGGCAACGCUGCCAGAAGCGCUGGGAGGGGAGCGAGGAUCUCUUGUGCUUUCAGGCUUGUGGCCUGCAUUCAGAAAAAAUGUGAAACAUCAAGAUAGAGCUGACAGGACCCUGCCCUUGGCGUGAGGGGCUGAAUGACACUCCCUGAAGCUCUGUGCAUAGGACGCAGGAGCCUGGCGUGCUCUGGAUGCCACCCCCUCCCUAGGCCAUGAUAAGAAAUGUUUCUCCUUUAACCAUCUGUGUGUUUUAUCUCCAGUUCAGAACAUCUUUCCUGGCAUGAGUGUUGCAACUCUUCUCCAUUGCCUCCCGGGACAGGGCUCCCUUCGCUGCCGGGAUGGCUGGGGCAUGGUGCAAAGCCAGAGUUGCCUGGACACUGGUUACAAUUCAUUUAAAGCCACCUUUCUUAAUGGUGCAGAGCAGGGGAAUUGGUCUCUCCUGGAUACCAACAGGCAUGCAGUAAAGCCCCAGGGACAAGCCAGUAGCAGCUGUGAGGUGGAAAGUGUCCAGUGGAGGGUGGCAGGAGUCUCCCUUGGAUGGCAGGAAAGGGCCAGUAAGGGAAGGUCCAGGAGGAACAAGGGUCCUCGUGUGAGCAAGCAGAGAGAGGAAGGGGUGGGUGAGAGGAGAGGUGUAGAUUUGUUUUGGGGGAAAAGGCUGUGCACGAGGAUGGCUUCCAACAGGAUGACAUAGUCCCUUUCAGGGGUAGGCGUCGCCCCCAUCAAGGCAGUGACUGCAGGUUGAGGGCGUGGGACAUCCAUCAGAGGAGAGGCAGGAGACCUGAGUACCGAAGCUGCAGGGAGGAGUGUGAUGUCCCCAGGGCCUGUGAGCACCCGCCCAGCAGCGCUCCAUCAGCACCCCAGGGCAGGAUGGACAAGCUGAGGCGAGUGCUAAGGAAGUCGGCCAAGGUGCUCUCCAUGGGAGAAGAGAGCAGCAGUGAGCCUGGGCAGGAGGAUUGGGGCCCCACCUGCCGUGACGAGGAAGGGCCUAUCAAGGCAAGAAAGUGGCUGUGCCCCAUCUGCUGC